UGGGGAAUAUUGGACAAUGGGCGCAAGCCUGAUCCAGCCAUGCCGCGUGUGUGAAGAAGGCCUUCGGGUUGUAAAGCACUUUUGUCCGGAAAGAAAUCCUGUCGGCUAAUACCCGGCGGGGAUGACGGUACCGGAAGAAUAAGCACCGGCUAACUUCGUGCCAGCAGCCGCGGUAAUACGAAGGGUGCAAGCGUUACUCGGAAUUACUGGGCGUAAAGCGUGCGUAGGUGGUUUGUUAAGUCUGAUGUGAAAGCCCUGGGCUCAACCUGGGAACUGCAUUGGAUACUGGCUUACUAGAGUGCGGUAGAGGGUGGCGGAAUUCCCGGUGUAGCAGUGAAAUGCGUAGAUAUCGGGAGGAACAUCCGUGGCGAAGGCGGCCACCUGGACCAGCACUGACACUGAGGCACGAAAGCGUGGGGGAGCAAAACAGGAUUAGAUACCCUGGUAGUCCACGCCCUAAACGAUGCGAACUGGAUGUUGGGAGCAACUAGGCUCUCAGUAUCGAAGCUAACGCGUUAAGUUCGCCGCCUGGGAAGUACGGUCGCAAGACUGAAACUUAAAGGAAUUGACGGGGUCAUAGCUGUUUCC
RNAcentral lists this ribosomal RNA (588 nucleotides) under uncultured bacterium. RNAcentral describes it as "partial 16S ribosomal RNA". It matches the Rfam family "Bacterial small subunit ribosomal RNA", at positions 355 to 937 of the family's 1533-position model. The record is from RNAcentral.